CCUACGGGUGGCAGCAGUGAGGAAUAUUGGUCAAUGGACGAGAGCCUGAACCAGCCAAGUAGCGUGAAGGAUGACUGCCCUAUGGGUUGUAAACUUCUUUUAUAUGGGAAUAAAGUGUUCCACGUGUGGGAUUUUGUAUGUACCAUAUGAAUAAGGAUCGGCUAACUCCGUGCCAGCAGCCGCGGUAAUACGGAGGAUCCGAGCGUUAUCCGGAUUUAUUGGGUGUAAAGGGAGCGUAGGUGGAUUGUUAAGUCAGUCGUGAAAGUUUGGGGCUCAACCGUAAAAGUGCAGUUGAAACUGGCAGUCUUGAGUACAGUAGAGGUGGGCGGAAUUCGUGGUCUAGCGGUGAAAUGCUUAGAUAUCACGAAGAACGCCGAUUGCGAAGGCAGUUCACUGGACUGCAACUGACACUGAGGCUCGAAAGUGUGGGUAGCAAACAGGAUUAGAUACCCCUGUAGUC
This 460-nucleotide ribosomal RNA is filed under the name uncultured bacterium. RNAcentral describes it as "partial 16S ribosomal RNA". It matches the Rfam family "Bacterial small subunit ribosomal RNA", at positions 338 to 795 of the family's 1533-position model. The record is from RNAcentral.